AGAGUUUGAUCCUGGCUCAGGAUUAACGCUGGCGGUAUGCAUAACACAUGCAAGUCGAGCGCGAACGUUCCUUCGGGAGCUAGUAGAGCGGCGAACGGGUGAGUAACACGUUGGAAUCUACCUCUAACUCAGGGAUAGCCCAUCGAAAGAUGGAUUAAUACCGGAUAGUCCCUUCGGGGUAAAGCUUUUGCGGUUAGAGAUGAGCCUGCGUCCUAUCAGCUUGUUGGUGAGGUAAUAGCUCACCAAGGCGAUGACGGGUAGCUGGUCUGAGAGGACGAUCAGCCACAAUGGGACUGAGACACGGCCCAUACUCCUACGGGAGGCAGCAGUGAGGAAUUUUGCACAAUGGGGGAAACCCUGAUGCAGCAAUACCGCGUGGAGGAUGACGGCUUUCGGGUUGUAAACUCCUUUUAUAUGGGAAGAAUUUUGACUGUACCAUAUGAAUAAGUCACGGCUAACUACGUGCCAGCAGCCGCGGUAAUACGUAGGUGGCAAGCGUUAUCCGGAAUUAUUGGGCGUAAAGCGUCCGCAGGCGGUUUUGUAAUUCAGAUGUAAAAUCUAUAGGCCCAACCUGUAGUUUGUAUCUGAGACUAUAAGACUAGAGAAUGUUAGAGGUCAGUGGAAUUUCUGGUGUAGGGGUAAAAUCCGUAGAUACCAGAAGGAACACCAAUUGCGAAGGCAGCUGACUGGGGCAUUUCUGACGCUCACGGACGAAAGCGUGGGGAGCGAAAAGGAUUAGAUACCCUUGUAGUCCACGCCGUAAACGAUGGAUACUAGAUUUUGGGAGGAAUCGAUCCCUUUUCAGAGUCGUAAGCUAACGCAUUAAGUAUCCCGCCUGAGGAGUACGAGCGCAAGCUUAAAACUCAAAGGAAUAGACGGGGACCCACACAAGCGGUGGAGCGUGUUGUUUAAUUCGACGAUAAGCGGAGAACCUUACCUGGCCUUGACAUCUCAAGAAAUCUCCAGAGACGGAGACGUGCCUACUUUCGUAGGAAUUUGAUGACAGGUGCUGCAUGGUUGUCGUCAGCUCGUGCCGUGAGGUGUACGGUUAAGUCCGAUAACGAGCGCAACCCUUGUCGUAUGUUGUAUUUCUCAUACGAGACUGCCUGGGUUAACCAGGAGGAAGGUAGGGAUGACGUCAAAUCAGCAUGGCUCUUACGGCCAGGGCUACAAACGCGCUACAAUGGGUGGUACAAAAGGUCGUGCAAUGAGGUAACUCAAAGCUAAUCCUCCAAAGCCAUCCUUAGUUCGGAUUGAGGGCUGCAAUUCGCCCUCAUGAAGCUGGAAUCGCUAGUAACCGUAGAUCAGCAACGCUACGGUGAAUAUGUUCCUGGGUCUUGUACUCACCGCCCGUCACGUCAUGAGAGCUGGAAACAUCCGAAGGCCCCGCUUGCGGGGACGAAGGUGGAGUCAGUGAUUGGGACGAAGUCGUAACAAGGUA
RNAcentral lists this ribosomal RNA (1441 nucleotides) under metagenome. RNAcentral's name for it is "bacterial SSU rRNA". It matches the Rfam family "Bacterial small subunit ribosomal RNA". The record is from RNAcentral.